CCCUUAGAUGUUCUGGGCCGCACGCGCGCUACACUGACGAUGGCAACGCGUUUUUCCUUCGCCGAAAGGUGUGGGUAAUCUUUUGAAACAUCGUCGUGCUGGGGAUAGAUCAUUGCAAUUUUUGAUCUUGAACGAGGAAUUCCUAGUAAGCGCGAGUCAUCAGCUCGCGUUGAUUACGUCCCUGCCCUUUGUACACACCGCCCGUCGCUACUACCGAUUGAAUGGUUUAGUGAGGACUCCUGAUUGGCGCCGCCGCCCCGGCAACGGAGCAGCGGACUGCCGAAAAGUUGUUCAAACUUGAUCAUUUAGAGGAAGUAAAAGUCGUAACA
Molecule: ribosomal RNA, 329 nt
Filed under: uncultured eukaryote
Lineage: Eukaryota
Description: partial 18S ribosomal RNA
Rfam family: Eukaryotic small subunit ribosomal RNA
Source: RNAcentral